Long non-coding RNA from Panicum hallii, 703 nucleotides. RefSeq lists it as uncharacterized. NCBI's taxonomy places the organism in Eukaryota, Viridiplantae, Streptophyta, Magnoliopsida, Poales, Poaceae. The transcript is spliced from 2 exons. The record is from RefSeq and is a predicted model, not a curated record.
AAUGUAAUUAGGUAACCUUCACAUUUCUCUCGAGCCCUUCUGCCCUUACACUUCCUGUCGCCUCCGUCCAGAAACUUGUUGCUAGUUUGCAGCCAUGCCAUGUUCUUCCAAGACCCCACCCUUCUGUUAACCUGAUUCUGAGAUCUCCUCGAGUUCCCUGGCCAGGUCCUUCUGCCGGCCGACGACGAUGGUGACGUGGUCCUUGCCGUCGAUGACCCUGACCUGGGCGCGCGGGACCUUUGCCUUCACCGCGUGGCUGCACUGCACGGGGAGGAGCUCGUCGUCCCCGCCGUGGUAGACGGUGACGUCGCAGGUGAGCUGGUCCCGGACGACCUCCAGGCAUUUGUCGAUCUUGCCGGCGCUGCCGCAGAUGAUGUUGUGGAGCGUGUGCCACGACGCGAUGUGGGUGUGGCAGAAGAAGCCGUCCAUGAGGUAGGUCCGGACCCUGCCCGUCGCAGCACGACCAACGGUUGGUUAGCCCAAAAUAAUAAUAACAAACAAGCGUCCCUCCCAAAACUGACCCUGCCUAGCUUGGUUUAGUAGCUAGUACUGCACUGGUUGUCCAUUUAUACAGUCUCGAACUGUUGUUCAUGCGCCCGGCUGGCUGCAUCAUAUGAACAUGCAGAAAAGAUGAACUCUGUACACUGUACACCCCUUUGGGGGGUACCCUUCACCAAAUCUUGGAACCUAGAGAGUUGGAGAA